UACGUAGGGUGCAAGCGUUAAUCGGAAUUACUGGGCGUAAAGCGUGCGCAGGCGGUUAUGCAAGUCAGAUGUGAAAUCCCCGGGCUCAACCUGGGAACUGCAUUUGUGACUGCAUGGCUAGAGUACGGUAGAGGGGGAUGGAAUUCCGCGUGUAGCAGUGAAAUGCGUAGAUAUCAAGUGGAACACCAGUGGCGAAGGCGAGUCCCUGGACAAAACCUGACACUGAGGCACGAAAGCUAGGGGAGCAAACAGG
Molecule: ribosomal RNA, 253 nt
Filed under: uncultured bacterium
Lineage: Bacteria
Description: partial 16S ribosomal RNA
Rfam family: Bacterial small subunit ribosomal RNA
Source: RNAcentral